GCUCAGGACGAACGCUGGCGGCGGGCCUAACACAUGCAAGUCGAACGCACUCGACCUUCGGGUCACAUGAGUGAGUGGCGAACGGGUGAGUAACACGUGAGGAACCUGCCCCGAAGACUGGAAUAACCCGGGGAAACUCGGGCUAAUACCGGAUGCCCCCAUCGGAUCGCAUGAUCCGGUGAGGAAAUGCUCCGGCGCUUCGGGAGGGUCUCACGGCCUAUCAGCUAGUUGGUGAGGUAACGGCUCACCAAGGCAACGACGGGUAGCUGGUCUGAGAGGACGAUCAGCCACACUGGGACUGAGACACGGCCCAGACUCCUACGGGAGGCAGCAGUGGGGAAUCUUGCGCAAUGGGCGAAAGCCUGACGCAGCCACGCCGCGUGAGGGAUGAAGGCUCUCGGGUUGUAAACCUCUUUCAGCAGGGACGAAAAUGACGGUACCUGCAGAAGAAGCUCCGGCCAACUACGUGCCAGCAGCCGCGGUAACACGUAGGGAGCGAGCGUUGUCCGGAUUUAUUGGGCGUAAAGAGCUCGUAGGCGGUUCGGUAAGUCAGGUGUGAAAGCUCGAGGCUCAACCUCGAGAAGCCAUCUGAUACUGCUGUGACUUGAGUCCGGUAGGGGAGUGUGGAAUUCCUGGUGUAGCGGUGAAAUGCGCAGAUAUCAGGAGGAACACCUACAGCGAAGGCAGCACUCUGGGCCGGUACUGACGCUGAGGAGCGAAAGCGUGGGGAGCGAACAGGAUUAGAUACCCUGGUAGUCCACGCCGUAAACGUUGGGCACUAGGUGUGGGGUCGAACUAACCGAUUCCGUGCCGUAGCUAACGCAUUAAGUGCCCCGCCUGGGGAGUACGGCCGCAAGGCUAAAACU
This 866-nucleotide ribosomal RNA is filed under the name uncultured Actinomycetes bacterium. RNAcentral's name for it is "SSU rRNA". It matches the Rfam family "Bacterial small subunit ribosomal RNA", at positions 22 to 901 of the family's 1533-position model. Lineage: Bacteria; Bacillati; Actinomycetota; Actinomycetes. The record is from RNAcentral.